This 517-nucleotide ribosomal RNA is filed under the name Salipiger marinus. RNAcentral describes it as "bacterial SSU rRNA". It matches the Rfam family "Bacterial small subunit ribosomal RNA", at positions 33 to 602 of the family's 1533-position model. The record is from RNAcentral. Lineage: Bacteria; Pseudomonadati; Pseudomonadota; Alphaproteobacteria; Rhodobacterales; Roseobacteraceae.
GUGCAUGGCGGCAGCUACCAUGCAGUCGAGCGCACCUUCGGGUGAGCGGCGGACGGGUGAGUAACGCGUGGGAACGUACCCUUCUCUGCGGAAUAGCCACUGGAAACGGUGAGUAAUACCGCAUACGCCCUUCGGGGGAAAGAUUUAUCGGAGAAGGAUCGGCCCGCGUUGGAUUAGGUAGUUGGUGGGGUAAUGGCCUACCAAGCCUACGAUCCAUAGCUGGUUUGAGAGGAUGAUCAGCCACACUGGGACUGAGACACGGCCCAGACUCCUACGGGAGGCAGCAGUGGGGAAUCUUAGACAAUGGGCGCAAGCCUGAUCUAGCCAUGCCGCGUGAGUGAAGAAGGCCUUAGGGUCGUAAAGCUCUUUCGCUGGGGAAGAUAAUGACUGUACCCAGUAAAGAAACCCCGGCUAACUCCGUGCCAGCAGCCGCGGUAAUACGGAGGGGGUUAGCGUUGUUCGGAAUUACUGGGCGUAAAGCGCGCGUAGGCGGAUCAGAAAGUUGGGGGUGAAAUCC